GAUAAAAUUAUUUUUUUACAUGCAAGAGGGAAAAAUAUGGCUCAAAUUGUCAAGCUUGUUAAUGUUAUCAUUAUUUUUCUUUCACUAUUUCUUGUUGCAAUGAACGUUGAAGGUAAAUCAUUUAUUUAUCAUCCUUAAAUAUAAUUUUUUUCUUUACUUCUUAUACAAUACUUUUUUUUUCAUUUUAUUUACGUUCUUUAAUUCGAAUUUUUACAGGUAUUCGUCGACGUAAAAAAUGUUAUAAUGAUUUUGAUUGUCCAAGAACUAUGUGCCCAUCAUAUUUGCUAGUUAAGUGUAUAGUAUAUAAUUGUAAAUGUUGUGUUAUAGGAACGUACGAAGAUUAAAAUCCCACAUGAUUCCGUAAAUGCCCAAAGAGCAUACAACACAUAAUAUAAUUAUAUUUAGUUUUUAGUUUUUUUCCUUUUUCUAGUGUCAACAAUUUAUAGUUAUGGCUUUGUAAUUUAAGAUGAUGGUUAUGAAAUAAAAUAAAGCAGUAAAGAAUACUAUUUAUAAAGGUG
Molecule: long non-coding RNA, 518 nt
Filed under: Trifolium pratense (red clover)
Lineage: Eukaryota; Viridiplantae; Streptophyta; Magnoliopsida; Fabales; Fabaceae
Description: long non-coding RNA (TPRA_LNC007513)
Source: RNAcentral